ACCAGGAUCGUGGUGGUUGCAAGAGGUGUUGAAGAGAAUGGAGUUGUUAACGGCUUGAACAUUGCUGUUCGUGAAUGCAUUCAUGGGUGGUAAUGGGGUCCCCAUUUUGUUGUGAGCUUUGUCUUUCUUUUUCGACUUCUCUUCAUCGCUGCUACUGGCAUCGCUUCCUAAUUUGGUCCCCAACCAAGUUUUGAGGUCGGUCUUCUUGACAAGAGGGUUGGAGUUGCCUUCAGGGUCGGGUUUCUUGCGGGCGGGGCUUAGCUCCAUUACGGCUCCAGUGUUGUCACCUGCAAGCGUUAUGAUCUUCAAGCUGGCAUCCUCAGAGUCUGCUUUCUUGAGGUUAACUUUCUGGUCUUUGGUCCCCGGCUCACUCUUCUCGUAACCAGGGACAAUGCUUGGCUUCACAGAGUCGCCCACAUUACUUUGCAGCCCACCAAUGGAGGGCCUGAAUGGUGACUUGGGCUUUUCGAUGACCACAGUCUUCUGCUCAAUUGGCUCAGGAGCGGGUUUUGGCUGGGCAGGAGGCAGAGUUAGAGGAGAUGGGGGAGGAGCAUGUGGUUUGACUUUCUCAGAAGGAGGUGUGGUUUGUGCUGGAAGCCUGGACAAUAGUGGGGCUGGUGCCAAUGCCCGUGCCCAUGCCCGUCCCGGUGAUGGUGCUUGUGCCUGUGGGGGUUCUGGUGCCGGGGCCGGUACUGUGAUCGAUUCGGUGAUAACAGUGGUGGUACUGGUGGUGAUGGUAGGAAUGGUUGAGAUGACUUUGGUUGUGGGGGAAGUUGGCACUGAAGAGGAGGAGGCAGAGGUUUUGGGAGAUUUUGGAACUGGAGAUGUUGGCACGGAAGACAAUGUUGUGGCUGGAAAAGCACUAGUUGUGACCACUUUCUGGACUGGAGAUGUUGGCACUGAUGAAGUACCGUAAGGUUUCGCGACUACCGGAGAUGUUGGCACGGAUGUAGUGGUUUUCUGAAUCGGAGAAGUUGGAACUGAUACAUUCCCAACCCGGAAAGGUGGCUGCUGAGGCUGGGUUGUGGGCCUAAAUACCUGACCAAAUGAGGGUCGAAUAAUAGGUCGAGCUGCAGGAGGCUGAGGUUGUGCCUGAGGCUGAGCCUCAGGAGCUGCGGACGCAGCCGCAGGUGCUGGUGUAGGCGCUGCGGGCCUCAUGGAACCCAAGCGGAUCCAUGGGCGGGCUGGGGCAGGCUGGUUUGCCAUAAUCGAACAGAAGUAAUCUGGAGUUACUCGCCCAAAUACUUAAUCUGAAACGAAGAAAGAGACCAAG
This 1273-nucleotide long non-coding RNA is filed under the name Vitis vinifera (wine grape). RNAcentral describes it as "long non-coding RNA (VVIN_LNC005204)". The record is from RNAcentral. Lineage: Eukaryota; Viridiplantae; Streptophyta; Magnoliopsida; Vitales; Vitaceae.